RNAcentral lists this non-coding RNA (21 nucleotides) under Caenorhabditis elegans. Lineage: Eukaryota; Metazoa; Nematoda; Chromadorea; Rhabditida; Rhabditidae. The record is from RNAcentral.
UUUUGAUGGGAACAAUAUUGA